This 839-nucleotide ribosomal RNA is filed under the name uncultured archaeon. Its description in RNAcentral is "bacterial SSU rRNA". It matches the Rfam family "Archaeal small subunit ribosomal RNA", at positions 21 to 859 of the family's 1478-position model. The record is from RNAcentral.
AGGUUACUGCUAUCGGUGUUCGCCUAAGCCAUGCGAGUCAUAUGUUCUUCGUGAACAUGGCGUACUGCUCAGUAACACGUGGGUAACCUGCCCUUGGGACCGGGAUAACCCCGGGAAACUGGGGAUAAUACCGGAUAACGCAUAUCUGCUGGAAUGCUUUAUGCGUAAAAUGGAUUUGUCUGCCCAAGGAUGGGUCUGCGGCCUAUCAGGUAGUAGUGGGUGUAAUGUACCUACUAGCCUACGACGGGUACGGGUUGUGAGAGCAAGAGCCCGGAGAUGGAUUCUGAGACAUGAAUCCAGGCCCUACGGGGCGCAGCAGGCGCGAAAACUUUACAAUGCGGGAAACCGUGAUAAGGGGACACCGAGUGCCAGCAUCAUAUGUUGGCUGUCCAGAUGUGUAAAAUACAUCUGUUAGCAAGGGCCGGGCAAGACCGGUGCCAGCCGCCGCGGUAACACCGGCGGCCCGAGUGGUGAUCGUGAUUAUUGGGUCUAAAGGGUCCGUAGCCGGUUUGGUCAGUCCUCCGGGAAAUCUGACGGCUCAACCGUUAGGCUUUCGGUGGAUACUGCCAGACUUGGAACCGGGAGAGGUAAGAGGUACUACAGGGGUAGGAGUGAAAUCUUGUAAUCCCUGUGAGACCACCUGUGGCGAAGGCGUCUUACCAGAACGGGUUCGACGGUGAGGGACGAAAGCUGGGGGCACGAACCGGAUUAGAUACCCGGGUAGUCCCAGCCGUAAACGAUGCUCGCUAGGUGUCAGGCAUGGCGCGACCGUGUCUGGUGCCGCAGGGAAGCCGUGAAGCGAGCCACCUGGGAAGUACGGCCGCAAGGCUGAAACUUAA